GAUGAAGAACGUAGCGAAAUGCGAUAAGUAAUGUGAAUUGCAGAAUUCAGUGAAUCAUCGAAUCUUUGAACGCACAUUGCGCCGGCUAGUAGUCUGGCGGGCAUGCCUGUCCGAGCGUCAUUUCAACCCUCAAGCCCCCGGGCUUGGUGUUGGGGAUCGGCGAGCCUCCGCGCCCGCCGUCCCCUAAAUCUAGUGGCGGUCUCGCUGUAGCUUCCUCUGCGUAGUAGCACACCUCGCACUGGGAAACAGCGCGGCCACGCCGUUAAACCCCCAACUUCUGAACGUUUGACCUCGGAUCAGGUAGGAAUACCCGCUGAACUUAAGCAUAUCAUAAGCGGAGGA
This 342-nucleotide unclassified non-coding RNA is filed under the name soil metagenome. Its description in RNAcentral is "partial contains 5.8S ribosomal RNA, internal transcribed spacer 2, and large subunit ribosomal RNA". The stretch from base 1 to 120 matches the Rfam family "5.8S ribosomal RNA", at positions 35 to 154 of the family's 154-position model. The record is from RNAcentral.